This 747-nucleotide ribosomal RNA is filed under the name uncultured Acidobacteriota bacterium. RNAcentral describes it as "bacterial SSU rRNA". It matches the Rfam family "Bacterial small subunit ribosomal RNA", at positions 76 to 802 of the family's 1533-position model. Lineage: Bacteria; Pseudomonadati; Acidobacteriota. The record is from RNAcentral.
GGAGCAAUCCAUGAGUAGAGUGGCAAACGGGUGAGUAACGCGUGGGCGACCUACCUUCGAGUGGGGGGUAACCUUCCGAAAGGAGGGCUAAUACCGCAUGACAUCCUGUGUUUGGAUACACGGAGAUCAAAGCCGGGGAUCGCAAGACCUGGCGCUUGGAGAGGGGCCCGCGUCCGAUUAGCUAGUUGGUGGGGUAAUGGCCCACCAAGGCGACGAUCGGUAUCCGGCCUGAGAGGGCGGACGGACACACUGGGACUGAGACACGGCCCAGACUCCUACGGGAGGCAGCAGUGGGGAAUUGUUCGCAAUGGGCGCAAGCCUGACGACGCAACGCCGCGUGGAGGAUGAAGACCUUCGGGUCGUAAACUCCUUUCGACCGAGAUGAAUUCCCGCCGGCCCAAUACGCCGGCGGGCUGACAGUAUCGGGAGAAGAAGCCCCGGCUAACUCCGUGCCAGCAGCCGCGGUAAUACGGGGGGGGCAAGCGUUGUUCGGAAUUACUGGGCGUAAAGGGUUCGUAGGUGGCUGGUUAAGUCAGACGUGAAAUCCCUCAGCUUAACUGGGGAACUGCGUCUGAGACUGGUCAGCUCGAGUGCAGGAGAGGAACGCGGAAUUCCAGGUGUAGCGGUGAAAUGCGUAGAUAUCUGGAGGAACACCGGUGGCGAAGGCGGCGUUCUGGACUGCAACUGACACUGAGGAACGAAAGCCAGGGGAGCAAACGGGAUUAGAUACCCCGGUAGUCCUGGCCC